This 492-nucleotide ribosomal RNA is filed under the name uncultured bacterium. RNAcentral's name for it is "partial 16S ribosomal RNA". It matches the Rfam family "Bacterial small subunit ribosomal RNA", at positions 29 to 507 of the family's 1533-position model. The record is from RNAcentral.
AGUGAACGCUGGCGGUAGGCCUAACACAUGCAAGUCGAACGGCAGCACAGUAAGAGCUUGCUCUUACGGGUGGCGAGUGGCGGACGGGUGAGGAAUACAUCGGAAUCUACUUUUUCGUGGGGGAUAACGUAGGGAAACUUACGCUAAUACCGCAUACGACCUACGGGUGAAAGCAGGGGAUCUUCGGACCUUGCGCGAUUGAAUGAGCCGAUGUCGGAUUAGCUAGUUGGCGGGGUAAAGGCCCACCAAGGCGACGAUCCGUAGCUGGUCUGAGAGGAUGAUCAGCCACACUGGAACUGAGACACGGUCCAGACUCCUACGGGAGGCAGCAGUGGGGAAUAUUGGACAAUGGGCGCAAGCCUGAUCCAGCCAUACCGCGUGUGUGAAGAAGGCCUUCGGGUUGUAAAGCACUUUUGUUGGGAAAGAAAAGCAGCAGGUUAAUACCCCGCUGUUCUGACGGUACCCACAGAAUAAGCACCGGCUAACUUCGUG